This 443-nucleotide ribosomal RNA is filed under the name uncultured bacterium. RNAcentral describes it as "partial 16S ribosomal RNA". It matches the Rfam family "Bacterial small subunit ribosomal RNA", at positions 338 to 795 of the family's 1533-position model. The record is from RNAcentral.
CCUACGGGAGGCAGCAGUGGGGAAUAUUGGGCAAUGGAGGCAACUCUGACCCAGCAACGCCGCGUGAAUGAUGAAGGUCUUCGGAUUGUAAAGUUCUUUUGUAAGGGACGAAGAAAGUGACGGUACCUUAGGAAUAAGCCUCGGCUAACUACGUGCCAGCAGCCGCGGUAAUACGUAGGGGGCAAGCGUUAUCCGGAUUUACUGGGUUUAAAGGGUGCGUAGGCGGGACUGCAAGUCAGCUGUGAAAACCACGGGCUCAACCUCCGGCGUGCCGUUGAAACUGUCGUUCUUGAGUAGUCGAGAGGCAGACGGAAUUCCUAGUGUAGCGGUGAAAUGCUUAGAUAUUAGGAAGAACACCAGUGGCGAAGGCAGUAUGCUGGCCAGCAUCUGACGCUGAGGCGCGAAAGCGUGGGUAGCAAACAGGAUUAGAUACCCUUGUAGUC